GCGACCCAGAGAGGGAGGGAGGGAGAUGGCAUCAGCGGGAGACAUAGUGUUCAAGGGAUUGACGGCGGCGCUGGGAGCGACGACGCUCUACUUGGCUGCCACCUUCUCCAUCAACCUCUACCGCGGCAUCUCCUGGCACACUGCUCAAUCCAAGUUGGAGAAAAGAAAAAUCUGAGGCAUGAAGCAGGCGAACAGAGGAAGACUACGUAGUAUUCCACACGGAAUAUUGGUCAGUAGGAUAAUAAUCCAUUCUAUUCCUAUGUUAUUUUGUUCAAGUCGGUAAUGAUGCUUAGACAUCAGCUUCGUUGUGGCAUAUUAACGAUGUUAAAAAGAUAGAUAUCAGCACUGCCGUUAAUGCUGCAUUUCUAUCGGCCGAUUUAAAGUCACCUUAUUAUUUCUGGGUGACUAUUUUUGCCUAAUAAGGAUGUGUCUAAAAAACAAUGCACUGUCUGUUUUAUAAGGGGCUUUUUUUUAAUUAACUGCAUGCAUAAAUCUUUCCCCUCGAAGGGAAGAA
This is a long non-coding RNA of Zingiber officinale, 514 nucleotides long. RefSeq lists it as uncharacterized. The transcript has 2 exons. The record is from RefSeq and is a predicted model, not a curated record. NCBI's taxonomy places the organism in Eukaryota, Viridiplantae, Streptophyta, Magnoliopsida, Zingiberales, Zingiberaceae.